UAGGGGUUUGAUCAUGGCUCAGGGAUGAACGCUAGCGGCAGGCUUAACACAUGCAAAGUCGAGGGGUAACAGGAGUGCUUGCACUCGCUGACGACCGGCGCACGGGGUGCGUAACGCGUAUAGAACCUACCUUUUACUGAGGGAUAGCCUUUAGAAAUGAAGAUUAAUACCUCAUGGUAUUGCAAUUUGGCAUCAGAUUGUAAUUAAAGAUUUAUUGGUAAAAGAUGGCUAUGCGUCUUAUUAGCUAGAUGGUAAGGUAACGGCUUACCAUGGCAACGAUAAGUAGGGGCCCUGAGAGAGGAUCCCCCACACUGGUACUGAGACACGGACCAGACUCCUACGGGAGGCAGCAGUGAGGAAUAUUGGGCGAUGGAGGCAACGCUGACCCAGCCAUGCCGCGUGCGGGAAGACUGCCCUAUGGGUUGUAAACUGCUUUUAUACGGGAAGAAACACACCUACGUGUAGGUGCUUGACGGUACUGUAGAAUAAGCACCGGCUAACUCCGUGCCAGCCGCCGCGGUAAUACA
RNAcentral lists this ribosomal RNA (527 nucleotides) under uncultured Flavobacteriaceae bacterium. RNAcentral describes it as "bacterial SSU rRNA". It matches the Rfam family "Bacterial small subunit ribosomal RNA", at positions 1 to 527 of the family's 1533-position model. The record is from RNAcentral. Lineage: Bacteria; Pseudomonadati; Bacteroidota; Flavobacteriia; Flavobacteriales; Flavobacteriaceae.